AACACAUGCAAGUCGAGGGGCAGCAUUGGAGUAGCAAUACUCAGAUGGCGACCGGCGCACGGGUGAGUAACACGUAUCCAACCUGCCGCUUACUCGGGGAUAGCCUUUCGAAAGAAAGAUUAAUACCCGAUGGUAUAAAGAGUUCGCAUGUUCUCUUUAUUAAAGAAUUUCGGUAAGCGAUGGGGAUGCGUUCCAUUAGAUAGUUGGCGGGGUAACGGCCCACCAAGUCUACGAUGGAUAGGGGUUCUGAGAGGAAGGUCCCCCACAUUGGAACUGAGACACGGUCCAAACUCCUACGGGAGGCAGCAGUGAGGAAUAUUGGUCAAUGGACGAGAGUCUGAACCAGCCAAGUAGCGUGAAGGAUGACUGCCCUAUGGGUUGUAAACUUCUUUUAUAAGGGAAUAAAGUGAGGGACGUGCCCCUUUUUGUAUGUACCUUAUGAAUAAGGAUCGGCUAACUCCGUGCCAGCAGCCGC
Molecule: ribosomal RNA, 475 nt
Filed under: uncultured bacterium
Lineage: Bacteria
Description: bacterial SSU rRNA
Rfam family: Bacterial small subunit ribosomal RNA
Source: RNAcentral